This 253-nucleotide ribosomal RNA is filed under the name uncultured bacterium. RNAcentral's name for it is "partial 16S ribosomal RNA". It matches the Rfam family "Bacterial small subunit ribosomal RNA", at positions 524 to 776 of the family's 1533-position model. The record is from RNAcentral.
UACAGAGGGGGCAAGCGUUGUUCGGAAUUACUGGGCGUAAAGGGCGCGUAGGCGGCCUUCUAAGUCGAACGUGAAAUCCCCGGGCUCAACCCGGGAACUGCGUCCGAUACUGGAAGGCUUGAAUCCGGGAGAGGGAUGCGGAAUUCCAGGUGUAGCGGUGAAAUGCGUAGAUAUCAGGAGGAAUACCGAUGGCGAAGGCAGGUCUCUGGGCUGACACUGACGCUCAUGCACGAAAGCGUGGGGAGCAAACAGG